GACGAACGCUGGCGGCGUGCUUAACACAUGCAGGUCGAACGGAAAGGCCCUGCUUUUGUGGGGUGCUCGAGUGGCGAACGGGUGAGUAACACGUGAGUAACCUGCCCUUGACUUUGGGAUAACUUCAGGAAACUGGGGCUAAUACCGGAUAGGAGCUCCUGCUGCAUGGUGGGGGUUGGAAAGUUUCGGCGGUUGGGGAUGGGCUCGCGGCUUAUCAGCUUGUUGGUGGGGUAGUGGCUUACCAAGGCUUUGACGGGUAGCCGGCCUGAGAGGGUGACCGGCCACAUUGGGACUGAGAUACGGCCCAGACUCCUACGGGAGGCAGCAGUGGGGAAUAUUGCACAAUGGGCGGAAGCCUGAUGCAGCAACGCCGCGUGCGGGAUGACGGCCUUCGGGUUGUAAACCGCUUUCGCCUGUGACGAAGCGUGAGUGACGGUAAUGGGUAAAGAAGCACCGGCUAACUACGUG
RNAcentral lists this ribosomal RNA (468 nucleotides) under uncultured bacterium. Its description in RNAcentral is "partial 16S ribosomal RNA". It matches the Rfam family "Bacterial small subunit ribosomal RNA", at positions 28 to 507 of the family's 1533-position model. The record is from RNAcentral.